Molecule: unclassified non-coding RNA, 17 nt
Filed under: Mus musculus (house mouse)
Lineage: Eukaryota; Metazoa; Chordata; Mammalia; Rodentia; Muridae
Description: oocyte_clustered_small_RNA7838
Source: RNAcentral
GAAGGUACACAGAACAC